RNAcentral lists this ribosomal RNA (498 nucleotides) under uncultured bacterium. RNAcentral describes it as "partial 16S ribosomal RNA". It matches the Rfam family "Bacterial small subunit ribosomal RNA", at positions 28 to 507 of the family's 1533-position model. The record is from RNAcentral.
GACGAACGCUGGCGGCGUGCCUAAUACAUGCAAGUCGAGCGGACCGAACAGGAGCUUGCUCUUGUUCGGUUAGCGGCGGACGGGUGAGUAACACGUGGGUAACCUGCCCGUAAGACCGGGAUAACUCCGGGAAACCGGAGCUAAUACCGGAUAACACCGAAGACCGCAUGGUCCUUGGUUGAAAGGCGGCUUCGGCUGCCACUUACGGAUGGGCCCGCUGCGCAUUAGCUAGUUGGUGGGGUAAAGGCCCACCAAGGCGACGAUGCGUAGCCGGGCCGAGAGGGGGAGCAGCCACACUGGGACUGAGACACGGGCCAGACUCCUAAGGGAGGCAGCAGUGGGGAAUAUUGGACAAUGGGCGCAAGGCUGAGCGAGCCAGACCGCGUGGGUGAAGAAGGCCUUCGGGUGGUAAAGCCCUUUUGUUGGGGAAGAAAAGCAGCAGGUUAAAAACGGGGGGGCGGGGCGGGACCCAAAGAAGAAAAACCCGCUAACAUCGUG